This 127-nucleotide small RNA is filed under the name Marmota monax (woodchuck). The record is from RNAcentral. Lineage: Eukaryota; Metazoa; Chordata; Mammalia; Rodentia; Sciuridae.
UCUGGGAGUGGUGGCACACACCUGUAAUCCCAGCAGCUUGGGAGGCUGAGGCAAGAGGAUCUUGAGUUCAAAGUCAGUCUCAGGAAGUUAGUGAGACUCUAAGCAACUCAGCAAGACCCUGUCUCUA